Nymphaea colorata (pocket water lily) is the source of this 88-nucleotide small nucleolar RNA. RefSeq annotates it as small nucleolar RNA Z102/R77. Lineage: Eukaryota; Viridiplantae; Streptophyta; Magnoliopsida; Nymphaeales; Nymphaeaceae. The record is from RefSeq and is a predicted model, not a curated record. The transcript has a single exon.
GAAUGAAGUGAUGAAUGAAUUUGUUUCCCUAUUGGUUUGAUUUUGCCGCCAUGAUGGCAAGUUUUGUAUUAGCUCUAUCUGAUCAUUC